This 42-nucleotide ribosomal RNA is filed under the name Podosphaera negeri. RNAcentral describes it as "partial 18S ribosomal RNA". Lineage: Eukaryota; Fungi; Ascomycota; Leotiomycetes; Helotiales; Erysiphaceae. The record is from RNAcentral.
ACAAGCGUUUCCGUAGGAUGAACCAUGACGGAAGGAUCAUGU